UACGAAGGGGGGCUAGCGUUGCUCGGAAUCACUGGGCGUAAAGGGCGCGUAGGCGGCCAUUCAAGUCGGGGGUGAAAGCCUGUGGCUCAACCACAGAAUUGCCUUCGAUACUGUUUGGCUUGAGUAUGGUAGAGGUCAGUGGAACUGCGAGUGUAGAGGUGAAAUUCGUAGAUAUUCGCAAGAACACCAGUGGCGAAGGCGGCUGACUGGGACCAUUACUGGACGCUGAGGCGCGAAAGCGUGGGGAGCAAACAGG
RNAcentral lists this ribosomal RNA (256 nucleotides) under uncultured bacterium. Its description in RNAcentral is "partial 16S ribosomal RNA". It matches the Rfam family "Bacterial small subunit ribosomal RNA", at positions 524 to 776 of the family's 1533-position model. The record is from RNAcentral.